Molecule: long non-coding RNA, 357 nt
Filed under: Bos taurus (domestic cattle)
Lineage: Eukaryota; Metazoa; Chordata; Mammalia; Artiodactyla; Bovidae
Description: long non-coding RNA NONBTAT026803
Source: RNAcentral
AGGGAAGUGUGAACACCCCUGCGUGUUGUCUCAUGAUUGUCUACAGCUGUUAAUGUAAGAAUCUGGGCUCCCUACCCUCUGAAGGGCUAGAGUUACUAACUGCAAAUAUUGCUUUUUGCAAGGUGGUUGGGAACUAAGAUGUGCCAAGGGUGGGAAGCAGGCAGCUUGAUAAGGCUGCCAAGGUCUUGGCCCUUUUGACAUUAUGCCAUGAAGAACCUGGCCCUUAAAAGAAGGGGUUCUUGAGAAGGGGAUCCUUAGCAGUUUCUUCUUCCUCUGUGUUAUCCAUUAGCAGGAUGCUAAUGGGGGAAGAACACUGACCUGGUGUUCCAGCUUGUGGCCUUCCUUGGUGUUAUGAGC